RNAcentral lists this transfer RNA (77 nucleotides) under Bifidobacterium psychraerophilum. RNAcentral describes it as "tRNA-Met". It matches the Rfam family "tRNA". Rfam says of the family: Transfer RNA (tRNA) molecules are approximately 80 nucleotides in length. The record is from RNAcentral. Lineage: Bacteria; Bacillati; Actinomycetota; Actinomycetes; Bifidobacteriales; Bifidobacteriaceae. RNAcentral also lists the same sequence under 1 other name.
GGGGCCUUAGCUCAGUCGGUUAGAGCAAACGACUCAUAAUCGUUCGGUCCAGGGUUCAAGCCCCUGAGGCCCCACUA